UGGUCAAGUUAUUAAGGGUGCAGGGCGGAUGCCUUGGCACUAGGAGCCGAUGAAGGACGUGAUAAGCUGCGAUAAGCUUCGGGGAGUUGCACGUAAACUUUGAUCCGAAGAUUUCCGAAUGAGGAAACUCACUUAGAGUAAUGUCUAAGUAUCAUUAAGUGAAUACAUAGCUUAAUGAGGGGAACUCAGGGAACUGAAACAUCUAAGUACCUGAAGGAAGAGAAAGAAAUUCGAUUCCGUAAGUAGCGGCGAGCGAACGCGGAUUAGCCCAAACUAAUAAAGUUUUCUUUAUUGGGGUUGCGGACAUAUCAUAACGAAGAGGUAUCGUAAUUGAAGAGGUUUGGAAAGACCCACCACAGAAGGUAAUAGUCCUGUAUGUUAAACGAGAAGACUUUAGAUAUGAUCCAGAGUACCACGGGACACGUGAAACCCUGUGGGAAGCAGGAGGGACCACCCUCCAAGGCUAAAUACUACCUAGUGACCGAUAGCGUAUAGUACCGUGAGGGAAAGGUGAAAAGAACCCCGGGAGGGGAGUGAAAUAGAACCUGAAACCCUGCACUUACAAGCUGUGGAAGCACAUUUCUUGUGUGACCGCGUACUUUUUGUAGAACGGGCCAACGAGUUACGUUAAGUAGCAAGGUUAAGCAC
This 648-nucleotide ribosomal RNA is filed under the name Clostridioides difficile. RNAcentral describes it as "bacterial LSU rRNA". It matches the Rfam family "Bacterial large subunit ribosomal RNA", at positions 1 to 653 of the family's 2925-position model. The record is from RNAcentral. Lineage: Bacteria; Bacillati; Bacillota; Clostridia; Peptostreptococcales; Peptostreptococcaceae.